Molecule: ribosomal RNA, 433 nt
Filed under: uncultured bacterium
Lineage: Bacteria
Description: partial 16S ribosomal RNA
Rfam family: Bacterial small subunit ribosomal RNA
Source: RNAcentral
AACGAACGCUGGCGGCAUGCCUAACACAUGCAAGUCGAACGAGACCUUCGGGUCUAGUGGCGCACGGGUGCGUAACGCGUGGGAACCUGCCCUUAGGUUCGGAAUAACUCCCCGAAAGGGGUGCUAAUACCGGAUAAUGUCUUCGGACCAAAGAUUUAUCGCCUUUGGAUGGGCCCGCGUUGGAUUAGCUAGUUGGUAGGGUAAAAGCCUACCAAGGCGACGAUCCAUAGCUGGUAUGAGAGGAUGAUCAGCCACACUGGGACUGAGACACGGCCCAGACUCCUACGGGAGGCAGCAGUGGGGAAUAUUGGACAAUGGGCGAAAGCCUGAUCCAGCAAUGCCGGGUGAGUGAUGAAGGCCUUAGGGUUGUAAAGCUCUUUUACCCGGGAUGAUAAUGACAGUACCGGGAGAAUAAGCUCCGGCUAACUCCGUG